CCCUUAGACGUUCUGGGCCGCACGCGCGCUACACUGACGAAGGCAACGAGCUUUCCUUUACCGAAAGGUACGGGUAAUCUUUUGAAACUUCGUCGUGCUGGGGAUAGAUCCUUGCAAUUAUUGAUCUUAAACGAGGAAUUCCUAGUAAGCGCAAGUCAUCAACUUGCGUUGAUUACGUCCCUGCCCUUUGUACACACCGCCCGUCGCUACUACCGAUUGAAUGGUUUAGUGAGAUCCUUGGAUCGGCCCUGUCGCGGCUGGCAACGGCCGCGUCGGCGCGUCGAGAAGACGAUCAAACUUGAUCAUUUAGAGGAAGUAAAAGUCGUAACA
RNAcentral lists this ribosomal RNA (330 nucleotides) under uncultured eukaryote. Its description in RNAcentral is "partial 18S ribosomal RNA". It matches the Rfam family "Eukaryotic small subunit ribosomal RNA", at positions 1470 to 1796 of the family's 1831-position model. The record is from RNAcentral.